RNAcentral lists this ribosomal RNA (460 nucleotides) under uncultured bacterium. RNAcentral describes it as "partial 16S ribosomal RNA". It matches the Rfam family "Bacterial small subunit ribosomal RNA", at positions 338 to 795 of the family's 1533-position model. The record is from RNAcentral.
CCUACGGGGGGCAGCAGUGAGGAAUAUUGGUCAAUGGGCGCGAGCCUGAACCAGCCAAGUCGCGUGAGGGAAGACGGUCCUAUGGGUUGUAAACUUCUUUUAUAUGGGAAUAAAAUGUUCCACGUGUGGGAUUUUGUAUGUACCAUAUGAAUAAGGAUCGGCUAACUCCGUGCCAGCAGCCGCGGUAAUACGGAGGAUCCGAGCGUUAUCCGGAUUUAUUGGGUUUAAAGGGAGCGUAGGUGGAUUGUUAAGUCAGUUGUGAAAGUUUGCGGCUCAACCGUAAAAUUGCAGUUGAAACUGGCAGUCUUGAGUACAGUAGAGGUGGGCGGAAUUCGUGGUGUAGCGGUGAAAUGCUUAGAUAUCACGAAGAACUCCGAUUGCGAAGGCAGCUCACUGGACUGCAACUGACACUGAGGCUCGAAAGUGUGGGUAUCAAACAGGAUUAGAUACCCUUGUAGUC